This is a long non-coding RNA of Equus asinus (donkey), 1730 nucleotides long. NCBI's taxonomy places the organism in Eukaryota, Metazoa, Chordata, Mammalia, Perissodactyla, Equidae. The record is from Ensembl.
GGGGGGACGGUGGGGGGGGCGGGGACCAGGGGAGGCAAUGGAUGAGCAAGGGAGAAGAGCCCGAGGGGCUGGCGCUGUUUCCCCGGGCUCCUCUGCGGCGAGCUUGUGACGGAGGCUGCGGCGAACUGCGCGGCCCCGAGCUUGAGCCCUUGGGCUUCGCACGGUGAAUUGUAGGGAUUUCCCAGGCUAAAGCAGGAGAGAAGGGGGAGGAAGAGAAUGGGGGCUCGUACACUUGGAGAGAUAGAGAAAGUUCAUGCGUGGUGGGGAAAGGUGUUUGCGGGAGAGCCCCGGCCUCACACUGGCGAGUUGAGCGCGUGCGUCUGGGGGGUGGCGUGGCGGGAGAGAUUUUGUGCUCUCGACUCCUGGCGACGUGCCGGGAGAGACUGCGCUGGCCCCAGGAAUCCCCUAGAAGAUCCGGGUCGUCACAGACAGGAUGUCAGAGGAGUCCGGGGACUGCUCCCGGGCGCGGAGGAGCUCCCUCUGCGGGAAAAGUAGACGUGGCUGAAGCCUGUGCCCGCUGCCCUGCUCCACCUCCUUUGCGCCUCCUCCGACCGGGUCCACCUGCGGCCAGCUCCCUCACCUCAAUUCCACUCUCUGGGGCCGGUCCCUUCUGGCCCUCUAGAAUCCAUUCCCGCUCCUUUCUGUGUGAUGUCCUCCUCCCGAACCCGCUGGGUCCGCGCGGUUCACGCCCCGCCUCUGGCUCCUCCCGGUGCGAGCUGCUUUCGAGGAGUCCAGGAGGCCUUACCCUGCCUCGGGCCGCCCCGGGUCUCCUUGGCCGGCGUCCUUUAAAGUUUCGGUAACUUUCGGGGACAGGACUCCUUGGCUGCGAGAGCAAUCAUCCUGGGAACUGCGGGGAGGUCGGAGAGGGCCUUCGCUGCCUCUUCAGCCCUUGAUACAGCAGCUGCGAUUUUCUGUUUCGUUUUAGAGCUAGGUGAAAGAGGAUGCGCUUCAAUGUGAAACAUGCAUCUCGGUUCUCUUUCCCGCCCUGAGAACUCUCGUGGCUCGGACCUGCUUCCUGCGACGCUCUCCAUCCUUCCGGCGGUGUGGGGGUCCCGCUGUCCAUCCUUGGACGCAGAAGUUCUUCUUUGGCUUCCUCCAGUUAGGGUAUCUCUGGGCCGGAGCACCUGUCGCUGGAGCAUCUGUCGCGGCGCGCGCUCCAUCCCGCUCAGCCCAGCCUCGGCAGCGUGACAGGUGGCCCGCAAAACAGCGUGGGGAGAGCGACGGAGGCGAGCAGCGGAUCGCACGUCUAGCCAGCACUCGGAAGCUUGAGUCUAGUCCUCGCUCACUUCCCCGUAGCCAGCUCCUAUGCCCUGUACCCGCUCAUUUUGACAUUUUUAUUUGACUUUGGCCAUAGGACUAGAAGAAUUUGGAUUUCCCCACAAAUUUAGGAGAAAAUAACGACAAUUUCUCCGAAUCCAGCAAGGCUCAGCAAAAUGUUAAUUAUUUUUGAAAAGGAUUUAUAGGAGCAGCGAUUUCCUACCUUUUGAACUAAGAAAAUGAAAAGAAUGUGAUGCCAGUGCCUAAGGCUGGUUUCUGUCCACAUUUCUCAAUCUCCUCUUACUUGAAACAGUUUGUAAAAACCUCGAUGAAGCUAAGAAAGGUACUGGCUGCACAGGAAUUUAAAGGAAGUGAACAUCAAUCUCUAAUUUAGGCAGGAAAACAGUCCCCUCUCCCCGCAAAUCCAAGGUCAAGGAAGAAAAAUAAACAGUCUGUGGUUUUAAAAUAUGCCC